GACGAACGCUGGCGGCGUGCUUAACACAUGCAAGUCGAACGGAAAGGCCCUGCUUUUGUGGUGUGCUCGAGUGGCGAACGGGUGAGUAACACGUGAGUAACCUGCCCUUGACUUUGGGAUAACUUCACGAAACUGGGGCGAAUACCGGAUAGGAGCUCCUGCUCCAUGGUGUGGGUUGGAAAGUUUCGGCGGUGGGGGAUGGACUCGCGGCUUAUCAGCUUGUUGGUGUGGUAGUGGCUUACCAAGUCUUUGACGGCUAGCCGGCAUGAGAGGGUGUACGGCGACAUUGGGACUGAGAUACGGACCAGACGCCUACGUGAGGCAGCAGUGGGGAAUAUUGCAGAAUGGGCGGACGCGUGAUGUAGAAACGUUGCGUGCGGGAUGAUGGCUUACGGGUUGUAAACAGAUUUCUACUGUGCCGAAGCGUGCGUGACGGUAAUGGGUAAAAAAGCCACGGCUAACUACGUG
This 468-nucleotide ribosomal RNA is filed under the name uncultured bacterium. RNAcentral describes it as "partial 16S ribosomal RNA". It matches the Rfam family "Bacterial small subunit ribosomal RNA", at positions 28 to 507 of the family's 1533-position model. The record is from RNAcentral.